RNAcentral lists this ribosomal RNA (402 nucleotides) under Bacteroidota bacterium. Its description in RNAcentral is "Bacteroidetes bacterium partial 16S ribosomal RNA". It matches the Rfam family "Bacterial small subunit ribosomal RNA", at positions 355 to 776 of the family's 1533-position model. Lineage: Bacteria; Pseudomonadati; Bacteroidota. The record is from RNAcentral.
UGGGGAAUUUUGCACAAUGGGGGAAACCCUGAUGCAGCGACGCCGCGUGAUUUAGAAGGCCUUCGGGUUGUAAAAAUCUUUUCUAUGGGAAGAAAAUGACAGUACCAUAGGAAUAAGGACCGGCUAAUUACGUGCCAGCAGCCGCGGUAAUACGUAAGGUCCGAGCGUUGUCCGGAAUCAUUGGGCGUAAAGGGUACGUAGGCGGGUAAGCAAGUUAGAAGUGAAAUCCUGUAGCUCAACUACAGUAAGCUUUUAAAACUGCUCAUCUUGAGAUAUGGAAGGGAAAGUGGAAUUCCAUGUGUAGCGGUGAAAUGCGUAGAUAUAUGGAGGAACACCAGUGGCGAAGGCGACUCUCUGGUCUGUAACUGACGCUGAGGCUCGAAAGCGUGGGUAGCAAACAGG